GACGAACGCUGGCGGCGUGCUUAACACAUGCGAGUCGAACGGAAAGGCCUGGUUUUUGUGGGGUGCUGGGGUGGCGAACGGGUGAGACAGACGUGAGUCACGUGCCCUAGCCUUUGGGAACAUGUCAAGAAGCCGGGGCAAAUGGCGGAAAUGAGCGACUGCUCUGUGGUGUGGGGUGUGAGGUUGCGAAGGAUGUGGUUGUGGUCGAGGCUUAUCAGGUUGCGGGUUGGGUAAUGGGUUGCGUAGGUGUCGACGGGUAGGCGGCCUGGGGGGGUGACCGGCGACAUUGGGACCGAGCUACGGCGCAGACUCCUACGGGAGGCAGCAGUGGGGAAUAUUGCACAAGGGGCGGAAGCCUGAUGCAGGGACGCCGUGUGGGGGAUGACGGCCUUCGGGUUGUAAACUCCUUUCGACCGAGAGGAAGCCACCUGGUUGGAAGGGUGGUGACGGUAGUGGUAGAAGAAGCACCGGCUAACUACGUG
Molecule: ribosomal RNA, 482 nt
Filed under: uncultured bacterium
Lineage: Bacteria
Description: partial 16S ribosomal RNA
Rfam family: Bacterial small subunit ribosomal RNA
Source: RNAcentral